RNAcentral lists this non-coding RNA (89 nucleotides) under Pseudomonas sp. 29. The record is from RNAcentral. Lineage: Bacteria; Pseudomonadati; Pseudomonadota; Gammaproteobacteria; Pseudomonadales; Pseudomonadaceae.
UGUAGGAGUGAGCCUGCUCGCGAUAGCGGUGUGUCAGUCACCGAAAAUGUCACUGACAGACCGCUAUCGCGAGCAGGCUCACUCCUACA